CGGCGUGCUUAACACAUGCAAGUCGAACGGUAAGGCCCUUUCGGGGGUACACGAGUGGCGAACGGGUGAGUAACACGUGGGUGAUCUGCCCUGCACUUUGGGAUAAGCCUGGGAAACUGGGUCUAAUACCGAAUAGGACUACGCGAUGCAUGUCGUGUGGUGGAAAGCUUUUGCGGUGUGGGAUGGGCCCGCGGCCUAUCAGCUUGUUGGUGGGGUGAUGGCCUACCAAGGCGACGACGGGUAGCCGGCCUGAGAGGGUGUCCGGCCACACUGGGACUGAGAUACGGCCCAGACUCCUACGGGAGGCAGCAGUGGGGAAUAUUGCACAAUGGGCGCAAGCCUGAUGCAGCGACGCCGCGUGAGGGAUGACGGCCUUCGGGUUGUAAACCUCUUUCAACGCCGACGAAGCGUAAGUGACGGUAGGCGUAGAAGAAGCACCGGCCAACUACGUGCCAGCAGCCGCGGUAAUACGUAGGGUGCGAGCGUUGUCCGGAAUUACUGGGCGUAAAGAGCUCGUAGGUGGUUUGUCGCGUUGUUCGUGAAAACUCACAACUCAAUUGUGGGCGUGCGGGCGAUACGGGCAGACUGGAGUACUGCAGGGGAGACUGGAAUUCCUGGUGUAGCGGUGGAAUGCGCAGAUAUCAGGAGGAACACCGGUGGCGAAGGCGGGUCUCUGGGCAGUAACUGACGCUGAGGAGCGAAAGCGUGGGGAGCGAACAGGAUUAGAUACCCUGGUAGUCCACGCCGUAAACGGUGGGUACUAGGUGUGGGUUUCCUUCCUUGGGAUCCGUGCCGUAGCUAACGCAUUAAGUACCCCGCCUGGGGAGUACGGCCGCAAGGCUAAAACUCAAAGGAAUUGACGGGGGCCCGCACAAGCGGCGGAGCAUGUGGAUUAAUUCGAUGCAACGCGAAGAACCUUACCUGGGUUUGACAUGCACAGGACG
This 944-nucleotide ribosomal RNA is filed under the name uncultured bacterium. RNAcentral describes it as "bacterial SSU rRNA". It matches the Rfam family "Bacterial small subunit ribosomal RNA", at positions 40 to 997 of the family's 1533-position model. The record is from RNAcentral.